UGCGGGGUCGUCUAAUGGUAGGACGCCUCCCUUUGAAGGAGGAUAUUCUAGGUUCGAGUCCUAGCCCCGCAGCCA
Molecule: transfer RNA, 75 nt
Filed under: Candidatus Yanofskybacteria bacterium RIFCSPHIGHO2_02_FULL_38_22b
Lineage: Bacteria; Candidatus Yanofskyibacteriota
Also listed under: 1 other name
Description: tRNA-Gln
Rfam family: tRNA
About the family: Transfer RNA (tRNA) molecules are approximately 80 nucleotides in length.
Source: RNAcentral